RNAcentral lists this ribosomal RNA (552 nucleotides) under Zelurus petax. Its description in RNAcentral is "partial 16S ribosomal RNA". It matches the Rfam family "Bacterial large subunit ribosomal RNA", at positions 1797 to 2621 of the family's 2925-position model. The record is from RNAcentral. Lineage: Eukaryota; Metazoa; Arthropoda; Insecta; Hemiptera; Reduviidae.
CGCCUGUUUAUCAAAAACAUGUCCUUUUGAUUAUUUAUAUAAGGUCUAACCUGCCCAAUGAGGUAUUCAAUGGCCGCGGUAUUUUAACCGUGCUAAGGUAGCAUAAUCAUUUGUCUUUUAAUUAAGGGCUGGUAUGAAAGGUUGGACAAAGUAUAAGCUUUCUUUAUUUUAAUGUAUGAAUUUAAUUUUUAAGUUAAAAAGCUUAAAUGUUUUUAUUGGACGAGAAGACCCUAUAGAUCUUUAUGUUUAUUAUUGAUUAAUUAAUUUAGGAGUUUUUAUUAUUUUGAUUGAUAUAAUUAUUUGAUUGGGGUGAUUGUAGAAUUUUAAUAACUUCUAUUUUUUAAUUUCAUAGAUUAGUGUUUUGUUGAUCCAUAAAUUAUGAUUAUAAGAUUAAGUUACCUUAGGGAUAACAGCGUUAUUUUUUCGGAGAGUUCAUAUCGAUGAAGGAGUUUGCGACCUCGAUGUUGGAUUAAAAUAAGUAGUAGGUGUAGUAGUUACUAACUAGGUCUGUUCGACCUUUAAAUUUUUACAUGAUCUGAGUUCAAACCGGAG